GAUGAACGCUGGCGGCGUGCCUAAUACAUGCAAGUCGAGCGAACGGACGAGAAGCUUGCUUCUCUGAUGUUAGCGGCGGACGGGUGAGUAACACGUGGAUAACCUACCUAUAAGACUGGGAUAACUUCGGGAAACCGGAGCUAAUACCGGAUAAUAUUUUGAACCGCAUGGUUCAAAAGUGAAAGACGGUCUUGCUGUCACUUAUAGAUGGAUCCGCGCUGCAUUAGCUAGUUGGUAAGGUAACGGCUUACCAAGGCAACGAUGCAUAGCCGACCUGAGAGGGUGAUCGGCCACACUGGAACUGAGACACGGUCCAGACUCCUACGGGAGGCAGCAGUAGGGAAUCUUCCGCAAUGGGCGAAAGCCUGACGGAGCAACGCCGCGUGAGUGAUGAAGGUCUUCGGAUCGUAAAACUCUGUUAUUAGGGAAGAACAUAUGUGUAAGUAACUGUGCACAUCUUGACGGUACCUAAUCAGAAAGCCACGGCUAACUACGUGCCAGCAGCCGCGGUAAUACGUAAGUGGGCAGCCGUAUCCGGAAUUAAUGGGCGUAAAGCGCGCGUAGGCGGUUUUUUAAGUCUGAUGUGAAAGCCCACGGCUCAACCCGUGGAGGGUCAUUGGAAACUGGAAAACUUGAGUGCAGAAGAGGAAAGUGGAAUUCCAUGUGUAGCGGUGAAAUGCGCAGAGAUAUGGAGGAACACCAGUGGCGAAGGCGACUUUCUGGUCUGUAACUGACGCUGAUGUGCGAAAGCGUGGGGAUCAAACAGGAUUAGAUACCCUGGUAGUCCACGCCGUAAACGAUGAGUGCUAAGUGUUAGGGGGUUUCCGCCCCUUAGUGCUGCAGCUAACGCAUUAAGCACUCCGCCUGGGGAGUACGACCGCAAGGUUGAAACUCAAAGGAAUUGACGGGGACCCGCACAAGCGGUGGAGCAUGUGGUUUAAUUCGAAGCAACGCGAAGAACCUUACCAAAUCUUGACAUCCUUUGACAACUCUAGAGAUAGAGCCUUCCCCUUCGGGGGACAAAGUGACAGGUGGUGCAUGGUUGUCGUCAGCUCGUGUCGUGAGAUGUUGGGUUAAGUCCCGCAACGAGCGCAACCCUUAAGCUUAGUUGCCAUCAUUAAGUUGGGCACUCUAAGUUGACUGCCGGUGACAAACCGGAGGAAGGUGGGGAUGACGUCAAAUCAUCAUGCCCCUUAUGAUUUGGGCUACACACGUGCUACAAUGGACAAUACAAAGGGCAGCGAAACCGCGAGGUCAAGCAAAUCCCAUAAAGUUGUUCUCAGUUCGGAUUGUAGUCUGCAACUCGACUACACGAAGCUGGAAUCGCUAGUAAUCGUAGAUCAGCAUGCUACGGUGAAUACGUUCCCGGG
Molecule: ribosomal RNA, 1370 nt
Filed under: uncultured bacterium
Lineage: Bacteria
Description: 16S ribosomal RNA
Rfam family: Bacterial small subunit ribosomal RNA
Source: RNAcentral